This 483-nucleotide ribosomal RNA is filed under the name uncultured bacterium. RNAcentral describes it as "partial 16S ribosomal RNA". It matches the Rfam family "Bacterial small subunit ribosomal RNA", at positions 30 to 507 of the family's 1533-position model. The record is from RNAcentral.
AUUGAACGCUGGCGGCAGGCCUAACACAUGCAAGUCGAGCGGAUGAAGGGAGCUUGCUCCUGGAUUCAGCGGCGGACGGGUGAGUAAUGCCUAGGAAUCUGCCUGGUAGUGGGGGAUAGCGUCCGGAAACGGGCGCUAAUACCGCAUACGUCCUGAGGGAGAAAGUGGGGGAUCUUCGGACCUCACGCUAUCAGAUGAGCCUAGGUCGGAUUAGCUAGUUGGUGGGGUAAAGGCCUACCAAGGCGACGAUCCGUAACUGGUCUGAGAGGAUGAUCAGUCACACUGGAACUGAGACACGGUCCAGACUCCUACGGGAGGCAGCAGUGGGGAAUAUUGGACAAUGGUGAAAGCCUGAUCCAGCCAUGCCGCGUGUGUGAAGAAGGUCUUCGGAUUGUAAAGCACUUUAAGUUGGGAGGAAGGGCAGUAAGUUAAUACCUUGCUGUUUUGACGUUACCAACAGAAUAAGCACCGGCUAACUUCGUG